RNAcentral lists this ribosomal RNA (300 nucleotides) under Biomphalaria glabrata. RNAcentral's name for it is "partial 16S ribosomal RNA". Lineage: Eukaryota; Metazoa; Mollusca; Gastropoda; Planorbidae. The record is from RNAcentral.
UUUAAAUGGCCGCAGUACCUUGACUGUGCUAAGGUAGCAUAAUCAAUUGGCUUCUAAUUAAAGUCUGGAAUGAAAGGAAAAAUGAGGUAGUUCUGUCUUAAGGAAUUUUUUUUGAAUUUAUUUAAAUGAUGAAAAUAUCAUUUUUUAGAAAAAAGACGAGAAGACCCUUAGAGUUUAAUUUUUUUUUGUUGGGGCGACAAGUAAACAUUAAACUUUACUAGUUAAUAAAUCGAUUUUUUAUAAGAAUAAUUAAACUACCUUAGGGAUAACAGCAUUAUAUUUUUUUAUGAUUGUGACCUC